GCCCCUGUAGCUCAGCCGGUAGAGCACGUCCUUGGUAAGGACGGGGUCACCGGUUCAAAUCCGGUCGGGGGCU
Molecule: transfer RNA, 73 nt
Filed under: Candidatus Omnitrophota bacterium
Lineage: Bacteria; Pseudomonadati; Candidatus Omnitrophota
Description: tRNA-Thr
Rfam family: tRNA
About the family: Transfer RNA (tRNA) molecules are approximately 80 nucleotides in length.
Source: RNAcentral